UACGGAGGGUGCGAGCGUUGUUCGGAAUUACUGGGCGUAAAGGGCGAGUAGGCGGCCUCCUAAGUCAGACGUGAAAUCCCCCGGCUUAACCUGGGAACUGCGUCUGAUACUGGGAAGCUUGAGUAUGGGAGAGGAAGGUAGAAUUCCAGGUGUAGCGGUGAAAUGCGUAGAUAUCUGGAGGAAUACCGGUGGCGAAGGCGGCCUUCUGGACCAUAACUGACGCUGAUCCGCGAAAGCUAGGGGAGCAAACGGG
This 253-nucleotide ribosomal RNA is filed under the name uncultured bacterium. Its description in RNAcentral is "partial 16S ribosomal RNA". It matches the Rfam family "Bacterial small subunit ribosomal RNA", at positions 524 to 776 of the family's 1533-position model. The record is from RNAcentral.